AUGGCCUGGGGGCACUGGGCCCCUGGGUCCUCCAGACCACUGACAUCUCUUUAAAUAACUCAGCUCGGCCCUGGUUCUCCUCUCACCGGUGGCAUUGUCUGUGUGACGAGAACUGCUUAAGCUGUGCAGGCUCCAGCAGGAACUGCAGCAGGUGUAAGACGGGCUUCACACAGCUGGGGACCUCCUGCAUCACCAACCACACAUGCAGCAACGCUGACGAGACAUUCUGCGAGAUGGUGAAGUCCAACCGGCUGUGCGAACGGAAGCUCUUCAUUCAGUUCUGCUGCCGCACGUGCCUCCUGGCCGGGUAAGGGUGUCCAGCUGCCCACAGAGGGCAG
RNAcentral lists this small RNA (338 nucleotides) under Pongo abelii (Sumatran orangutan). RNAcentral's name for it is "processed transcript". The record is from RNAcentral. Lineage: Eukaryota; Metazoa; Chordata; Mammalia; Primates; Hominidae.